UUUACUUUUUUCUUCUUCUUUGAUUUCAUCUUCCUGUAUGGUGUCUGCGGCUGCGUCGAUCCUGGCCGGAAGGAUGAUGCUCGCGGUGAUUGGUUUCGCUUUCUCACGACCCUUCAGAGUUGUCGGGUUUAAUUAAACGGUUCUCGAUGUCAAUACAGAAGCUUGAUCUGCAGACAAAUCACGAUACAUAACGUAUCCAACCCAAAACGCGAAAGAGAUUUGAAGAAAAUACCGGUCUGUUAUGGGAGCACAAAAUCGAGAUUUAAUUAAAAAUCAUAGUGAAAAUAUCAACCACAAAAUUCAAUAAGAUUCAAACA
This is a long non-coding RNA of Vicia villosa (hairy vetch), 317 nucleotides long. RefSeq lists it as uncharacterized. NCBI's taxonomy places the organism in Eukaryota, Viridiplantae, Streptophyta, Magnoliopsida, Fabales, Fabaceae. The record is from RefSeq and is a predicted model, not a curated record. The transcript is spliced from 3 exons.